GUUUUCCCUGUCCUGGCCGCUUGUUGGAACUCGUCGUAGGUCCCGCGGCCCUCAGUGUCACAGCGUGGCCUUGGCUUAUGUGCCACAGCAGGAGCUAAGCGGGUCCUGGAACAGCUCUCCGAGAGGUGGAAGGGGCCCCGCCAGCUCUGGGGAGCAGCAGCCUUGGGCUGUUCGGAGCUUUAGGCACAAGAAGAGAAGCAUCUCUUGCAUCUGUGCCCCUGGGGGCCUCUUCAGCUUUGCAGUGGUUUAUAGGAAGACAUACCUCCCAGAGGGGCAUGAACUGCCACCAGGACUGACCCCGGCGUCGGGAGAAGGACACUUGCAGAGCCUUGAGAUCACCUGGAUUUUGGCAGGUCCUGGACUGGGGCCGGGCAGGCAGGGACAGGGAGGAGCCCCUGGUGGCUUUCGGGGCUGCAGCACUGCCACACAUCCUUUUCCUCCCGGCCCGCCCUGCUGGGGCACUACUGCCGUCUAUAGAUGGUGUCCCAGGCCUGGGAAACCAGGUUCCCAGGGGUUGAGACCAGAAGGUUGAUGAGCAGAGAACCCAGGACAGAUUUUAUAAGGUGCAGAAACUGCAGGGGGGCCUCAGUGACAUCCACGAGGCAAUAAGGCUAAUUGCCUUAUUUGCUAAUAAGAGCAAAGGACACCCAGACCUCCAAGGUUUGUGGGCCCCUGCCACAAAGCUGUAAGUCCCAGCCCGCCCACUGAGGGCCUUGCCCAGUGCUGUGGCCUGGUGGGGACACAGAUGCUCUGGCCACUCAGUGGAGCUGGGCCUGCAGCAGACUCAGGACUCCGAGUGCCCUGGGGGUCACCCCUCACAUCCCCUCCUCAGAGCCCACCCUGAGAGGCAGCAGUGACCCCCGUGGUACACACAUGCCAACAGCACUGGGGGCUUCUCCCCGGGAGACCACGCUGCCCUCCAAGACAAGGGGCAGCUGUGAGCUGGAGAUAGCAGAGGGACCCCAGGGAGUCCCCUGCAGACCCCACCAGGGCCGCAUCCGUCUCAGUUUGGGGGACAGUGAUGGGGCCCUCACCAUCCUCUUGAAUCUUGGCCCCCAUUUGCGCCCUGAGCUCCAAGAUAAGAAUGGCCGUGAGAGAACUGCUGAACAUCUGUUCAUUGCUGUCACCUCCUGAGUCACUGGGGUCCCUCAGCAGAACCUCCCUGACACCUGGGCUGUGGAGAGGUAGGUGCCUAUCAGUGACCAUCCUAAUGCCUCUCACUCACUCCUAACCCCCUGUUUGAGGGGGAGGGGUGUUGGUGCCUUGACGGGGCUGGGUAGGGUGUCCAAACUUGUGGCUUCCCAGGCACCUGCAGUGUGAACACUGCUUGACUGGCUCAGGGUUAGGGCUGCAGAGGGGGCUGUGCCACAAACCAGUUACUUAAGCAGCCCUGAGUGUCUCCAUGCCUUGGUGCGGGUCCUGGAGACCUCUUGGGGUGGGACCUUUGGGCAGGGUUUGCCCACUGAUGCGCCCGCCACCAUGGGCCCCUGGCUACAUGGGGCUUCUUGGACCCUAUAGACCCCGCAGACCCC
This 1532-nucleotide long non-coding RNA is filed under the name Theropithecus gelada (gelada). RNAcentral's name for it is "lncRNA (ENSTGEG00000009321.1)". The record is from RNAcentral. Lineage: Eukaryota; Metazoa; Chordata; Mammalia; Primates; Cercopithecidae.